GUGUAUGUCAUGUGUUGUUGUAUUUACCUGAUUCUAAGACCUGCUAAGAAUAUGAUGUCCUGAUAUGUCAAACCACAGAAUUUAAAAAGGUGUACUUUCUUAUCCCUAGGACUGUACACAAUUCCAGCUUAGAAAGACUGCAAUGUUAUUGUCUUUCCUGGGAAGAUAAAUUGCUGAAAGACUUUCCAGAUUCGAUUGGGUCCAGAAUAUAACUAGCUUUGUUUACUGCAUAAGUUUCUUGUUCC
This is a non-coding RNA of Pelobates cultripes (western spadefoot toad), 245 nucleotides long. NCBI's taxonomy places the organism in Eukaryota, Metazoa, Chordata, Amphibia, Anura, Pelobatidae. The record is from the annotation of a GenBank genome assembly.